Molecule: ribosomal RNA, 575 nt
Filed under: uncultured bacterium
Lineage: Bacteria
Description: partial 16S ribosomal RNA
Rfam family: Bacterial small subunit ribosomal RNA
Source: RNAcentral
UGGGGAAUUUUGGACAAUGGGCGAAAGCCUGAUCCAGCAAUGCCGCGUGUGUGAAGAAGGCCUUCGGGUUGUAAAGCACUUUUGUCCGGAAAGAAAUCCUUGGCUCUAAUACAGCCGGGGGAUGACGGUACCGGAAGAAUAAGCACCGGCUAACUACGUGCCAGCAGCCGCGGUAAUACGUAGGGUGCAAGCGUUAAUCGGAAUUACUGGGCGUAAAGCGUGCGCAGGCGGUUUGCUAAGACCGAUGUGAAAUCCCCGGGCUCAACCUGGGAACUGCAUUGGUGACUGGCAGGCUAGAGUAUGGCAGAGGGGGGUAGAAUUCCACGUGUAGCAGUGAAAUGCGUAGAGAUGUGGAGGAAUACCGAUGGCGAAGGCAGCCCCCUGGGCCAAAUACUGACGCUCAUGCACGAAAGCGUGGGGAGCAAACAGGAUUAGGAUACCCUGGGUAGUCCACGCCCUAAAACGAUGUCAACUAGUUGUUGGGGAUUCAUUUCCUUAGUAACGUAGCUAACGCGUGAAGUUGACCGCCUGGGGAGUACGGUCGCAAGAUUAAAACUCAAAUGAAUUGACGGGGU